This 468-nucleotide ribosomal RNA is filed under the name uncultured bacterium. Its description in RNAcentral is "partial 16S ribosomal RNA". It matches the Rfam family "Bacterial small subunit ribosomal RNA", at positions 28 to 507 of the family's 1533-position model. The record is from RNAcentral.
GACGAACGCUGGCGGCGUGCUUAACACAUGCAAGUCGAACGGUGAAGCUCCAGCUUGCUGGCGUGGAUCAGUGGCGAACGGGUGAGUAACACGUGAGCAACCUGCCCCUGACUCUGGAAUAAGCGCUGGAAACGGCGUCUAAUACUGGACACGAGAAGGGUCCGCAUGGGCAUCUUCUGGAAAGUUGUUCGGUUGGGGAUGGGCUCGCGGGCUAUCAGCUUGUUGGUGAGGUAAUGACUCACCAAGGCUACGACGGGUAGCCGGCCUGAGAGGGCGACCGGCCACACUGGGACUGAGACACGGCCCAGACUCCUACGGGAGGCAGCAGUGGGGAAUAUUACACAAUGGGCGAAAGCCUGAUGCGGCGACGCCGCGUGAGGGAUGACGGCCUUCGGGUUAUAAACCUCUUUCAGCAGAGAAGAAGCGAAAGUGACGGUACCUGCAGAAGAAGCACCGGCUAACUACGUG